This 803-nucleotide ribosomal RNA is filed under the name uncultured Bacteroidota bacterium. RNAcentral's name for it is "bacterial SSU rRNA". It matches the Rfam family "Bacterial small subunit ribosomal RNA", at positions 49 to 847 of the family's 1533-position model. Lineage: Bacteria; Pseudomonadati; Bacteroidota. The record is from RNAcentral.
UAACACAUGCAAGUCGAGGGGCAGCAUGUUGGUUGCUUGCAACCAACGAUGGCGACCGGCGCACGGGUGAGUAACGCGUAUCCAACCUGCCCUUGUCCAUCGGAUAACCCGUCGAAAGGCGGCCUAACACGAUAUGCGGUUCUCAGCAGGCAUCUAACGAGAACGAAAUGUGAAGGAGAAGGAUGGGGAUGCGUCUGAUUAGCUUGUUGGCGGGGUAACGGCCCACCAAGGCGACGAUCAGUAGGGGUUCUGAGAGGAAGGUCCCCCACAUUGGAACUGAGACACGGUCCAAACUCCUACGGGAGGCAGCAGUGAGGAAUAUUGGUCAAUGGACGAGAGUUUGAACCAGCCAAGUAGCGUGCAGGAUGACGGCCCUAUGGGUUGUAAACUGCUUUUAUAGGGGGAUAAAGUGUGCCACGUGUGGCAUAUUGCAGGUACCCUAUGAAUAAGGACCGGCUAAUUCCGUGCCAGCAGCCGCGGUAAUACGGAAGGUCCAGGCGUUAUCCGGAUUUAUUGGGUUUAAAGGGAGCGUAGGCCGUUUGGUAAGCGUGUUGUGAAAUGUCGGGGCUCAACCUGGGCAUUGCAGCGCGAACUGUCAGACUUGAGUGCGCAGGAAGUAGGCGGAAUUCGUCGUGUAGCGGUGAAAUGCUUAGAUAUGACGAAGAACUCCGAUUGCGAAGGCAGCCUGCUGUAGCGCAACUGACGCUGAAGCUCGAAAGCGUGGGUAUCGAACAGGAUUAGAUACCCUGGUAGUCCACGCGGUAAACGAUGGAUGCUCGCUGUUUGCGUCUGACGUAAGCGGC